RNAcentral lists this ribosomal RNA (497 nucleotides) under uncultured bacterium. Its description in RNAcentral is "partial 16S ribosomal RNA". It matches the Rfam family "Bacterial small subunit ribosomal RNA", at positions 28 to 507 of the family's 1533-position model. The record is from RNAcentral.
GAUGAACGCUGGCGGCGUGCCUAAUACAUGCAAGUCGAGCGAACAGAUGAGGAGCUUGCUCCUCUGACGUUAGCGGCGGACGGGUGAGUAACACGUGGAUAACCUACCUAUAAGACUGGGAUAACUUCGGGAAACCGGAGCUAAUACCGGAUAAUAUAUUGAACCGCAUGGUUCAAUAGUGAAAGACGGUUUUGCUGUCACUUAUAGAUGGAUCCGCGCCGCAUUAGCUAGUUGGUAAGGUAACGGCUUACCAAGGCAACGAUGCGUAGCCGACCUGAGAGGGUGAUCGGCCACACUGGAACGGAGAAACGGUCCAGACUCCUACGGGAGGCAGCAGUAGGGAAUCUUCCGCAAUGGGCGAAAGACUGAAGGAGCAACGCCGCGUGAGUGAUGAAGGUCUUCGGAUCGUAAGACUCUGUUAUUAGGGAAGAACAAAUGUGUAAGUAACUAUGCACGUCUUGACGGUACCUAAUCAGAAGGCCAGGGCUAACUACGUG